CCAGGGACCUGCCUGUUUCAUCUUUACCCCA
Molecule: non-coding RNA, 31 nt
Filed under: Homo sapiens (human)
Lineage: Eukaryota; Metazoa; Chordata; Mammalia; Primates; Hominidae
Source: RNAcentral